AAUUGGAGUGAUGAAAGUUCUACCUUAGGUAGAUGCAACAGACCGUUUUGGUCACUUACCGUGUCUGCCAAUGCUAGGGUGCGUCAUAGUUACACUGACCACAU
Molecule: small nucleolar RNA, 104 nt
Filed under: Merops nubicus (carmine bee-eater)
Lineage: Eukaryota; Metazoa; Chordata; Aves; Coraciiformes; Meropidae
Description: Small nucleolar RNA SNORD46
Rfam family: Small nucleolar RNA SNORD46
About the family: U40 is a C/D box small nucleolar RNA, also known as snoZ153 in plants. The human sequence has also been annotated in the sequence databases as U46.
Source: Rfam by way of RNAcentral